GAAAUGCGAUAAGUAAUGUGAAUUGCAGAAUUCAGUGAAUCAUCGAAUCUUUGAACGCACAUUGCGCCCGCCAGCACUCUGGCGGGCAUGCCUGUUCGAGCGUCAUUUCAACCCUCAGAACCCCUUGCGGGAUCUGGCGUUGGGGAUUGGCAUCCAGCCAGCCCCGAAAUCUAGUGGCGGUCCCUCCGCGACCUCCCCUGUGCAGUAGCGAUACCUCGCAGCGGGACAGCGGUCUGACCACGACGUAAAACCCCCAACUUCUCAAGGUUGACCUCGAAUCAGGUAGGAAUACCCGCUGAACUUAAGC
RNAcentral lists this unclassified non-coding RNA (307 nucleotides) under plant metagenome. RNAcentral describes it as "partial contains 5.8S ribosomal RNA, internal transcribed spacer 2, and large subunit ribosomal RNA". The stretch from base 1 to 105 matches the Rfam family "5.8S ribosomal RNA", at positions 50 to 154 of the family's 154-position model. The record is from RNAcentral.